RNAcentral lists this long non-coding RNA (210 nucleotides) under Elaeis guineensis (African oil palm). RNAcentral describes it as "long non-coding RNA (EGUI_LNC052001)". The record is from RNAcentral. Lineage: Eukaryota; Viridiplantae; Streptophyta; Magnoliopsida; Arecales; Arecaceae.
UCUCUCUAUUUCUUCUUCAUUUUUUCUUUAUUUCUUUCUUUUCUUUUAUUUCUUCCUCUCUUCUCUUAUGGUAUAAACAACAGUUCCAUGGUAUUUAGAAAGGGUAGAGAGAAAAGGGAAGGGGGAUGGGGUCCAACAUGUGCGUAGUCGGGGGUGGCCAAGCUGAUGGUGAUGGUCAAAGAUGGCGAUGAAUGGCAAUGAUCUGAGGAC